AAGAAGCACAGCUGAUUCACCCACCAUCACAGGAAGGCAGGCGGCUUUCAAGGGCAUAGAUGCAGACCAUGUGGAAGCUUGGUGGAGGAGUCGGGGGAGUAAAAACGAGGCUGGCAUUCUGGACUUGCAUAGUCGAGAGAGCUACUGGUGUGAGGAAGCUGAUGGAAACCCAGCGCUGGCUUUGCAGAACAAUUUAGAAAUUGAUCUGCAACUGAUGGAAGCUGGGAUGAAUUGGGCGCAUAAGUGAACCCAAAGCAUCAGAGCAAAGUCAAAGCGAACAUCUGGCUCCAGCUUUGAGUACAAGAUUAAUAAAGGAGUCUCUCCAUAUCCUCUCUGUCCACGUUCGUUGUGGACGGGGUCACCAGGAAGAUGGUUCCUGGGUGAUGAGAGUGUCCAGGACAUUGUCUUCGGUGGACUACUGGCACAGGGACCUGAAUAAGACACUGGGAUUUACAAAGUGGAAAAGAAAUCACUGAGGGAUCCCUCAAGCCACUGAAAACAUGUACCAUUUGCCAUAAAACAGCAUUAAACAUUAAGUCAACAGAUUGCACAUGAAUAUCAACAAUCCUGCAAAAAAAGCCAGUCCCUUAAGAAACAUCAAGAUUGACAGUUGUCAUCAGAGAAAUGAUGAGGACCAGGAUCUUCAGGGUACCAUCUGGUGCUGUGUUUGAAGAAAAUGAGAAUGAGAGAUAUUUCCUCAAUAGAUGAAACUAUUGGCCCCAGCUCCAAAUUCACACUUGUUGCAGCAGUUAAUUCUGCAAAAUCACAGAAGGAAAAAAAGUCAGGCCAAGUUACAGUAGUUUCCAGACAGCCACUUCUGUUCCUGUUCCAAAAACUAUGACUAACAUUUGUCUGUCUGGAUGGUAUCAUUAAAU
RNAcentral lists this long non-coding RNA (875 nucleotides) under Homo sapiens (human). Its description in RNAcentral is "HSALNT0309173". Lineage: Eukaryota; Metazoa; Chordata; Mammalia; Primates; Hominidae. The record is from RNAcentral.